CCUACGGGAGGCAGCAGUGGGGAAUUUUGGACAAUGGGCGAAAGCCUGAUCCAGCAAUGCCGCGUGAGUGAAGAAGGCCUUCGGGUUGUAAAGCUCUUUUGUCAGGGAAGAAACGGUGAGGGCUAAUAUCCCUUGCUAAUGACGGUACCUGAAGAAUAAGCACCGGCUAACUACGUGCCAGCAGCCGCGGUAAUACGUAGGGUGCAAGCGUUAAUCGGAAUUACUGGGCGUAAAGCGUGCGCAGGCGGUUUUGUAAGUCUGUCGUGAAAUCCCCGGGCUCAACCUGGGAAUUGCGAUGGAGACUGCAAGGCUAGAAUCUGGCAGAGGGGGGUAGAAUUCCACGUGUAGCAGUGAAAUGCGUAGAGAUGUGGAGGAACACCGAUGGCGAAGGCAGCCCCCUGGGUCAAGAUUGACGCUCAUGCACGAAAGCGUGGGGAGCAAACAGGAUUAGAUACCCUGGUAGUCCACGCCCUAAACGAUGUCUACUAGUUGUCGGGUUUUAAUUAACUUGGUUAACGCAGCUAACGCGUGAAGUAGACCGCCUGGGGAGUACGGUCGCAAGNUUAAAACNCAAAGGAUUGACGGNNGAGAGNGCGAGACGACGACGAGGGAGAGG
RNAcentral lists this ribosomal RNA (616 nucleotides) under uncultured bacterium. RNAcentral describes it as "bacterial SSU rRNA". It matches the Rfam family "Bacterial small subunit ribosomal RNA", at positions 338 to 947 of the family's 1533-position model. The record is from RNAcentral.